Molecule: long non-coding RNA, 1981 nt
Organism: Triticum dicoccoides
Lineage: Eukaryota; Viridiplantae; Streptophyta; Magnoliopsida; Poales; Poaceae
Exons: 3
Source: RefSeq, a predicted model, not a curated record
AAGUAUUUAUUUCAACAUGACUUCUUCUGCAUGCAUACCACACAUUUUUCUCGUUCAGAAACACCAAUUUACUAUGGUUAUCUUCGCAAUAAAUGUGAACCCAGAAGAGUUUUCUUCCAGAUUACCAUUGGUUCGCCAUUGGCAUUGGGAAUCUGGAGUAAAUUCUUACUCACCGGCCACUGUAUCAGUACCCGAAUGAGCUUGUUCUUGUGUGAGGCCCUGAACUUGAACAAACCAAUCCACCUGAGCACAAGCAGUAAAAGCUUGCUACGAGGUUCACUCGCCAAAUGAUUGAUAGAGAUCUGAAACCAAAGCUCAAAUGAGCGAAAGUUAAUCAAAUGGUUCAUUUAAUGGACCGAUUGCUCAAACUGGAAGGUAUGCAUUUGCACCUUACUCCAUAUCAAGUUCAUGCGACUGGUCAAGAUGAAGGGAUGCUUGAAUAUAUUCCUUGAAGUUUGCUUGCACACGUAACUUCAUAUUGAGGAUCAUGGACGCCAGUAGCCACUGCUGGGUUUCCAAUUGACUUGUUUGGAAGAAAGGGUAUUUGCAUUCUAGCUUCAUUUCUUAAGUAGAUUUGUUUGUACAGAAAGUUACUUUGUUGAUUUUGGUUAACUGCUUGCUCCUGAUUUUAACAGAACAUGAUGGUAUUAUAAGUUACCUGCAAAAGUUCCAUCCUGACGAAGAUGGUCCAUUUGAUAUAACUGUCAAUGCUCGGAAAUUUAUGUUUGUGUCUGCCUUUUAUGCUUGGAAAUAAUUAUAUAGAAACGUUGAUUUCAGUUCUCUUUCAAGUCAGUGAUUUUCAACUGUCAAUCUUGUAGUGCUGCAUCUCUAAGAUGAUUCUUUUUUGCUUCAGAGGAAAGUGAACUCAGCAAUCAAAGUGAUUAUAUUCUUCUGUUCCAUCUUGUAAGGGUUAUAUAGUGCAACUAGGCUUUACUAUUUUUGACUAAAAUUUGUAUCAAUUAACACCUUCUGCAUCAUGUUGUUUGCCAAGCAUAUUAAUGCUCUGUUCUGAAAAAAAUUCAUCUUUUCCUCUUUGCAUCAUACUGCAAAUGUAGCGGUUGGUUGCCAUCUAGCAGGAAUGCUAAUAUUACUUGAAAGUUGUGUGGAGCACGCUGUUGCUGAAAAACGCCACCAUAACUAUAAUUAUUCUGGGUGGAAUCAUACCUUUCUAUAUUCAAUCCACACUGUUUUAUUUCUUAAGUAGAUUUGCUUCUACAGAAAGUUACAUUCAUUAUUUUUUUGCUUGCUCUCGGAUUUUAUCAGAGCAUCAGUGUUAUAUGUUACAUAUAAAAGUUCCAUCCUGAUGAAGAUGGCCUGCCAAUGCUUCAAACCGUCUAUAAAAGGCUGUGCUGGUUACUCUGCCAUGACAUAUAUGAUGUGUGCUGGAUACUGGUUUGUGUUUGCCUUUUAUGCUUAGAAAUAAAUAUCGUUCAGUUCUCUCUAAAUUCAGCAAUCUUCAACUGCCAAUCUUGUAGUGCUGCAUAUCUGAGACCAUUGUUUUUUGGCUCCAAAGGAAAUUGAACUUAUUGGCACCGAACUUCAUUUCUGCUCUUCUGAUUACUGUUCAGCAAUUAAACUGGUUGUUUCUCGCAUUUCACUUUUUAGUAAUUUAUAUAACACAACUAGGUGCUUAUUAUUUCUGACUAGUAUUCUUAUUUUAUUAAUGCCUUCUGCAUCGUUUUGUUUGUCAAGCAUGUUAGUGCUCUGUUCUGAAAAAAAUCAUCUCUGCCUCUUUGGAUCAUACUGCAAAUGUAGUGAUUGGUUGCUAUCUAGCAGGGAUGCUAUAUCAUUUGAAAGUUGUAUUGAGCACAUUGUUGAUGAAAUACACCACCAUAAUUAUAACAAUUCUGGGUUAAGCAUGACUUUUUAUCUCUACUCUUAUAAAAAACCGAGUUGGUGAUGAUGGUGUGCCUGCCAUCUUGCAAGAUAGACCGUUUGAUCUAUAUCUGACAGAUAGAAAGCAAACUAUGGCAAUUUUGCA